Solanum dulcamara is the source of this 551-nucleotide long non-coding RNA. RefSeq lists it as uncharacterized. The transcript is spliced from 4 exons. Lineage: Eukaryota; Viridiplantae; Streptophyta; Magnoliopsida; Solanales; Solanaceae. The record is from RefSeq and is a predicted model, not a curated record.
CAUCAGCCAACAUAGAGAAACAAAACGUGAGGGAGAGAAAUAGAGAGGCAGCCAUGGUUCUUGAAGUUUAAAGGUUUACAUGUAUCUGCUCGAAAAAUGGUGAUGAAGCGUAGAGGAGGUACUGCUCAGAUUUGGUUUUGGAAAUUCUACACGGACAGCUGUUCGGAAGACGACGAGACGAGCAGGAUGAAGGGUAGCUCCCAAAAGGUAUAGAUACAGAUUUUGGGAGUCCGUCAGCUUAGGAUUCCAUGCAGCUCAGUUGGAAGAGGCUCCAUUGUGUCGGGGCCUAGUUUUGUGAUACUAUCCACGGAUGUAUAAAAAUUAUUUCAUCCAUUCAGGGGUAUGGCGGGGGCCCUGUCCCUCCAUAUGUUGUCAUUUAUAUGUUUAGAGGUCUGCAGACAUGUAUAUGUGGGUUGUGUAUGUCAGUUUGAUUCAGCUGGGUCUACAUGAUAUAUGAUAUAUGUUAUUAUGUUACGGCAGCCUUGUCGGCUUGCAUUCCCUGUCAUGUUGUGAUACAAACGAAAAGGGCUGCAGUUUAUGAAAAUGUUAUC